CCCGGCAGCAGAGUUGGGCCCAGAGUCCACCUGUCCGGUCCAGGCGUGACAGCAGCAGCAGGACAGGAGUGAGGGCUGAGAGACCCAGGCAAAGGGAGACACCUCCAAGGACAUCUCCCAGACACCGCCGCUCCCGGCAGCAGGGUUGGGCCCAGAGUCAACGUGUCCGGUCCAGGAGUCGGCGUGACAGCAGCAGCAGCAGGACAGGGCUGAGGGCUGAGGGGCCCAGGCCGGGGGAGACAUGGUCAGGGACGUCCCCCAGACGCAGCCGGUCCCGCCUGCAGCGCCGCGCCUCGGAUCCACCUGUGCAGUCCAGGAGUGGCCAGGACAGCAGCAGGAGGACAGCAGCGCAUGCUGAGAGUCCAAGGCGCAGGGGGACACCGUCGGGGACGUCCCGCAGGAGCAGCCGCUCCCGCCAGCGACGUCGGGCCUCAAGUGGCACCUCCAACAGCAGCACGUAGCGCCAUCUUUUCUUUCUAGUCCAUGGGUUCGCUGCCGGAAGUGAAGGUGAGAACGGUCAGCACAGGGCCCCUGAGAUUUGCAGGUCUGUGAGAAAACCCUGUUAGCUCUUGACAUUUCUACCGGCAGGAAAGAGGUCUGUGCUAAAUACCUUGAUUUCUGUGUAACCCUGUAUUCAGUGACAAGUCCCUUAAGGAUGUGGCUAAUGGAAAAGGACUCUUGCUCCUGCCUUUAGACUCCAGCCUCAGAUGUUUCCCCACUGCUUAGCCUUGAAAGUGAACCACUCCUUAAUGGGCUUGGGUCCGGUUAGGGAGACGUUCAGAGCAAGGUGGCUCCUGAGGAAGCUGUCUUUGGAAAGGACGUGUGCUGUGUUGCUAUCCUUGAGCAAUCUCCCUUCAGGAAAGCCAAAAGGAAGAAGAAAGAAGAGAGUGAGACACUGUCUCAAGUGUCUGAAGAAAACAAUUCCAAUGUUGCUGCUGAUUUGAAAGACUUGAUUGGACCUUCAAAGAACAAAGCAGUAAAGAGUGUGGAAAUACCCUGGGACAAAGAGGACGCACAGGACUCUGGCCCAGAUGACCAUUUGGGACCUUUGACUGAGAAGGACGCAGCUCAGGAGUGGAGUGCUUUCAAGUUUUCCUUCUUUGGAGACACAGAGCAGUUGGGCAUCAAAGAAGGAAUUCGGGAAGGCAUGCUUCGAGAAGGCACUGGGUACUUUGCAAAAUGGUGGAAAAGCUUGUUGUCAUGCCCUGAAUUCCUCAAAGAGGGAAAAAGAGCCUUACGUACUUGGAACAACAAAACCGGUACAAGUCACGUGGCAAGAGGAUCGACGUGUCCAAGACUGCAGUUCUGAGGGUGAAGAGGAGCCCCAGAUGUCAGAAAUUGAAAAGGACUGAGAAAUGUUUCUUUCUUUACCACACACAGAAAGUGCUAGAGUUUGCUUCUCCGACGAUGAUGAACGCCUAAGAGGUAGGACGGAAUUUCUUCAUCCCCUUUUGGAUUUCUUUCCCUUCUGAACCUUUCCUGGACUAGUUAUGAAUGUUUUCUAGCAAAAUUUGCCACCCUUACUUGUGGCCAAAAUAGUGGUGGAAUCCCAUGAGCACGUCCUGGUAAAAUAGAGGUCAAGCAGAUUUCUGGCUUACUUUUCUUUCAGAUAUUUGGCUAAUAGGAACCUGGACUUUUAGAGCUUAUCAAAAACUUAGUCACUUGACAGGUUACCUAGACAGUUUGGAUCCCUUCAGGUAUGUGUAGCAUCUUGAACUUUUUCCUGCCUUUCUUUCGGGUGUUACCAUCAGGAAUGUUGAGUUUGGCUUGUAUGUGCCUGUGGUUCUUUGUCCUCAUGAAUCUGGGGCUUUCUCUUCUGAAUCCAGUGAAUUUGGUGUUUAGAAACAAAGCAAACAACAACAAAAGGGAAAACACACAGUCCCCAAAACCUGCACAGGCCUCCAGAACAAUUGCUUGUUAUAUUUUGUAGAAUAUAUAGUCUUAAGACAGGCUCAAAGGCUGUGCCUUUCUUGAGACUGAUUAGGUAACUCUGAGGCAAGGUACUGCUGUGUUCAUGCAGUUACCGGCCUGCAAUCUCCCCGCCUGUCUGAUUUACAGGGUGUGUUGAAACGGAGAGCUCAGUCCUCAGCAGGCCUCAGUGCUGGGGAGGAUGCAGGGUCCUGGUGCUGAGCUUCUAAGGGAACGGCUGCUAUUUCUCUGCAAUUUAGAUUGCAGCAUGUUGAGGAGAACUGCUGCUGCCUUUCAUUGUUCUUAGUACACCAGGCUGCAGCAGGGAGCAUUUCUGUUGGAGCCAACGUGUGGUGGGGGGCAGGAGAACAGGAAGGAUGAGGAGAAUUGAUUUCUGACUUUCUUACUGCCCUGUUCAUGAUUGUUAGAAGCAGCAGCACAAUCAGAAGUGUUUAACCCUAUUAAUUGGUUGUUUGUUUUGUGCACAGGAGCCAAAGUUAUUUUGUAGAUUACUAGAGCUCAGUGAAGAGAAAGAGGGUUAGGAAGAGAGACUUAGAUUAUUGCUAGAGGUGAGUAUGGAACGUCUGUUCCCUGGUAGCUCUAGGCGAAAGCUGAGCAUGGGGAGGGAAUGCAGGUAUGAAUGUGCAUGCCAAAUUAAUUUGGGACCUCAAGAAGAGCUUGAAACUUUUUAUUGACCAGGAAACAAAAGCUUUGUAGUCUACCGCUGUGUAUAACGCCCUGUUGUAUUGUCCAGUAAUGUAAAGCACGGCAUCUCUGUAUUUUACAGGAGCAGCACCUUAACUAUCUGUAAGGAAUGUAUUUAAGAGAUAGAGAGAAUUUAGAGACUUCUCUUAAUAGUGGAAUAGGAAACUUCUCCGAAGACUUUGUUAGAUUUUCAUUAUAUUCUGGAACGCCGAAGGAAGCAUAAGGAUACCAAAUAGAAAGUGCAAGCAAACCAAUAAACCUUUUACUGAUUGGAA
This is a long non-coding RNA of Passer domesticus (house sparrow), 2888 nucleotides long. RefSeq lists it as uncharacterized. NCBI's taxonomy places the organism in Eukaryota, Metazoa, Chordata, Aves, Passeriformes, Passeridae. The record is from RefSeq and is a predicted model, not a curated record. The transcript is spliced from 4 exons.